AAGUCGUAACAAGGUUUCCGUAGGUGAACCUGCGGAAGGAUCAUUAAUGAAUGAUAAUUUUUUGGGGUUUUCCCUGAAAAAUAAAUCACCAUUUGUGCAUUGUUAUUUAGAUAUACUUUGGUUAGUGCUUUGGUUCCAAAAACAUUUGGAAUCAACUUCUUGCUAACUCUAUCCUAUUUAAAGGACAGUUGGCUAUGAAGCGGCCUACCAAGGUUUUUUUUAUCAAACUCUUGUAUUUUGUCUGACCUAAAAACAAAUAAUUAAAUCAUAACUUUCAACAACGGAUCUCUUGGCUCUC
This 298-nucleotide unclassified non-coding RNA is filed under the name fungal sp. Its description in RNAcentral is "partial internal transcribed spacer region". The stretch from base 1 to 46 matches the Rfam family "Eukaryotic small subunit ribosomal RNA", at positions 1786 to 1831 of the family's 1831-position model. Lineage: Eukaryota; Fungi. The record is from RNAcentral.